AAUACAUACGCCGAUACAGUGUUACUUAAUCGAUGCACCAGCCCAAUGACAACUCGCUUCAUACUCCGAAACCUUCGGUUUGUGUAAUUUGUCUGUCUGGUGUCAUCUUCCAUAACCACAGAGGAGAGUCUUUGCAAGUGCCAAAGGAACAGGCUUAAUCGUGACAAGCUCGACUUGCAGGAUAUACCAGCUCAUAUGAACAUCGCCCCCUCCUCAGACCUUUUGAUGUGGCUCUCCAGACAGCUCAUGCACCAUGAUGCACCGCUACUUAUCAGCAAAGUUUAUCAUCAUCAUCAGGUGUUUGUCUAAAUGUAUACUGAGAAGAAUGUGCUUGUCAUAUGCUCCAUUCCUAAAAAUUAAACCUAUGACCUUUAUAUUGGGAAAACACGUGUCUGUGGUGAGUCUAAUUAUAUUACUUCUAGGGGACUUUUUAUGUUACUGUCGUAAUACCUUGCAAAGUAUUUUUUCAUGCUCUUCAGCUACAAAUUUUUUCUAGCAGUUCUUGAUAGAUAGAUAGAUAGAUAGAUAGAUAUCACAUGAAAAUGAGUAAUUUGCUUUAAACAAUAAAUAUUGAAUAUUUCUUCCGUCAAUUAAGAGCUAAAGUAUUAAAUAUUUGUAAAAAAUAAUAAUAAUACUCACCACUAUUAUUAUACUCAGCACUAGACUCAGGAGCAAAGAGAAAGGCAAGGACUACCAGUUGAUACACACUCCAGCUGUUCAUGAUAAGCUCCUCUCUCAGUUACUUGUCAAUGAAGAGG
Molecule: long non-coding RNA, 758 nt
Organism: Onychostoma macrolepis
Lineage: Eukaryota; Metazoa; Chordata; Actinopteri; Cypriniformes; Cyprinidae
Exons: 3
Source: RefSeq, a predicted model, not a curated record